AGUUUUAGGUAAUUUAUCUAAAAUAAUACCUGCCCAAUGUUGAUUUAUAAACGGCCGCGGUACUUUGACCGUGCUAAGGUAGCGCAAUCAAUUGGCUUUUAAAUGAAGUCGUGUAUGAAUGGAAUAACGGAGUUUAGCUGUCUCUUAGACUAAUUUAUUGAAAUUACUAUGUAGGUGAAAAAGCCUACAUUAAGAAAAAAGACGAGAAGACCCUUAGAACUUACCUUAGGUUCAAGAAAUAUAUUAUAUUCUUGAAAUAGUUUUGUUGGGGCAACAUAGGAACAUUGUUUUAAUCUCCUUAGAAUUAUAAACCGAUGAUUAUAAAAAUAAAUAAGUUACCUUAGGGAUAACAGCAAAAUACUAUAAGUGAGUUUGUGACCUCGAUGUUGGACUAGAAACUUAACAGGCUAGCCGCUUGUUGGGAAAGUUCUGUUCGAACUAUAAUUUUC
This 449-nucleotide ribosomal RNA is filed under the name Aldisa sanguinea. RNAcentral describes it as "partial 16S ribosomal RNA". It matches the Rfam family "Bacterial large subunit ribosomal RNA", at positions 1830 to 2596 of the family's 2925-position model. The record is from RNAcentral. Lineage: Eukaryota; Metazoa; Mollusca; Gastropoda; Nudibranchia; Dorididae.